CCCAGGGCACGGAGAGGGGCUGGCUCUGGAGGUGAGAGGGCAGCAAAGGAUACCCUCCUCCAUCUACAUCACUGACAAAGUUGAGUGAAUUCUUCUUCCACCAGGUUUUUAUACUCAGAAAAAGAAUCUCAAGAUGAAAAAAGUUGCUCCAACAUUAAUAGAAUCAACCCAAUAUACUUAAAUAGGGCCACGGAGUUCUCUCCUCUCCUCACCAGUUUGGAAUUAUGCAGCGUUAGACAUCCCAUUGAAGCACCUUCCUCUGAUUGGAUGAAGACGUGGAGGUGGAAGCCUGGCAAGAUAUAUGCUUUGUUUAAAACGGUGAGUCAAGCUGCAAGAAAAAACCCACGAUCCCUCAACUUGAGGACUGGGUCAAGCAUGGGCUGGACUGGACAUGGCCAAUGGAAUCUGAUAAUAAGUCUUCACUAUAUAAACUGAUGCAUAAGCAAAAAUACCUCUCUUACUGGCUGGACUCUGUCACGUUGACAAUAGGAUAGCUGGAAUUACCGAAGCCACCCGAGGCCACAAACCAUGCUGAAAACGGCCAAGUGGGAAGGCCUGGAUCCUGGAUCACCUUUCUAAGUCACUGGAUUGACCAAGCCAGGAAUUGUCCUUUUGUUGUUCUUUCUAUGUCGGGGGGUGGGGGUGAUUUUUUUCAUUUCUUUAAGCUACUUGUUUGUUGAGAUUUGUGUUUCCAGGAGCCCGAAGCAUCCAGAUGCUGCAGUCCUUCGAUCCCUGCCACCUACCAGAGGUACAGCUCACCUUGAUGAUUAUUCUGAACCACUGAUGAUUUCCAUAAGUACCAACAAGCCACAUACAGAAGAGGAGGUACAAAUCCACCGUUAGGAAAUUCUCACAGCGAACUGCUCUACACUGGAAGAAACAGAAGCUCGGGGAGGUUGGUUUCUUCUAGUUUGCCUCAUGACACACCAGUAGUGUGUGGCAGGUUUGAAUAGAGGGUCCUAGCCCUUUCCAUAACUUCACAUGGUCUCUGCUCCUCAUGGGUUCCUCUGUUCCCACACUGAACCCAACAAAUGAAAUCAUGCCAUGCGUCUUGAGAUGUGAUGCUGUCAUUUCUUUCAAUUCCCCGUGCUUCGGGUGGUCAUACAAAUCUAUAUGUGUGUGUUAACGCUCAUAGAACUGAACAUUAAAAAAAAUGUCAAAGAGAAAAUACAAAAAUAAGUUUUUCAGCUUCACAUUUGUCUAUAUCCCAUUUUUCU
This is a long non-coding RNA of Ailuropoda melanoleuca (giant panda), 1217 nucleotides long. RefSeq lists it as uncharacterized. NCBI's taxonomy places the organism in Eukaryota, Metazoa, Chordata, Mammalia, Carnivora, Ursidae. The transcript has 4 exons. The record is from RefSeq and is a predicted model, not a curated record.